UACAGAGGCCCCAAGCGUUACUGAGAAUCACUGGGUUUAAAGGGUGCGUAGGUGGUCCGUUAAGUUCGUUGUGAAAUCCCUGGGCUCAACCCAGGAAAUGCUUCGAAUACUGGCGGACUUGAGGCUAGUAGAGGUCACUGGAACUGGCGGUGGAGCGGUGAAAUGCGUAGAUAUCGUCAGGAACGCCGAUGGUGAAGACAGGUGACUGGGCUAGUUCUGACACUGAGGCACGAAAGCGUGGGGAGCGAACGGG
Molecule: ribosomal RNA, 253 nt
Filed under: uncultured bacterium
Lineage: Bacteria
Description: partial 16S ribosomal RNA
Rfam family: Bacterial small subunit ribosomal RNA
Source: RNAcentral